CCCUUAGAUGAUUUGGGCUGCACGCGCGCUACACUGACCCUAACAAUGAGCAGCUGUCUGGCCUGAGAUGGCUGGGUAGCCUUUUCAACCCAUGUCAUGAUUGGGCUAGAUUUUUGUAAGUCUUGAUCUCUAACGAGGAAUCCCUAGUAUGCGUGAAUCAUCAAUCCAUGCAGAUUAUGUCCCUGCCCUUUGUACACACCGCCCGCCGCUCCUACUGAUUGGGUGAUCCGGUGAGCUGUUCGGCCAUAGCAAUGUUUCUUGAGCAGGGCAAUGAAUGUUUCGCAAACCUUGCCACUUAGAGGAAGGAGAAGUCGUAACA
Molecule: ribosomal RNA, 319 nt
Filed under: uncultured eukaryote
Lineage: Eukaryota
Description: partial 18S ribosomal RNA
Rfam family: Eukaryotic small subunit ribosomal RNA
Source: RNAcentral